UUUCCGUAGGUGAACCUGCGGAAGGAUCAUUACCGAGGGGGGGGCCCCUUUUCCCCCACGGGGGGGUGGGGCCCCGGAUCUUCCCACCCAUGUUGACCGUACCACGUUGCUUCGGCGGGGACGCCUGCCGGAGGGGUUCCGAAUUAACCGCUGUUCUGUCUCAAGGAUGUGUCUGAGUCGGGCUGGAUGACACCGGCCAAAUCGAAGCGAACAAAACUUUCAACAAUGGAUCUCUUGGUUCCG
This 243-nucleotide unclassified non-coding RNA is filed under the name soil metagenome. RNAcentral describes it as "partial contains small subunit ribosomal RNA, internal transcribed spacer 1, and 5.8S ribosomal RNA". The record is from RNAcentral.